This 406-nucleotide ribosomal RNA is filed under the name uncultured bacterium. RNAcentral's name for it is "partial 16S ribosomal RNA". It matches the Rfam family "Bacterial small subunit ribosomal RNA", at positions 30 to 526 of the family's 1533-position model. The record is from RNAcentral.
AUUGAACGCUGGCGGCAGGCCUAACACAUGCAAGUCGAACGAGUGGCGGACGGGUGAGUAAUGUCUGGGAAACUGCCUGAUGGAGGGGGAUAACUACUGGAAACGGUAGCUAAUACCGCAUACCAUCAGAUGUGCCCAGAUGGGAUUAGCUUGUUGGUGGGGUAACGGCUCACCAAGGCGACGAUCCCUAGCUGGUCUGAGAGGAUGACCAGCAACACGAGAAAUGAGACGCGGUCCAGACUCCUACGAGAGGCAGCGGUGGGGAAUAGUGCAAAAUGGGCUCAAGCCUGAUGCAGACAUGCCGAGUGUAUGAAGAAGGCCUUCGGGUUGUAAAGUGGUUUCAGCGGGGAGGCGUUACCCGCAGAAGAAGCACCGGCUAACUCCGUGCCAGCAGCCGCGGUAAUUC